Molecule: long non-coding RNA, 1342 nt
Organism: Equus caballus (horse)
Lineage: Eukaryota; Metazoa; Chordata; Mammalia; Perissodactyla; Equidae
Source: RefSeq, a predicted model, not a curated record
GCCCAGUCCCCGGCGCGCGCCCGCUGGCGGCGCUGCGAUCCCUCGCUUGCGAGGCUGGCUCUACGUGGCGCGGGAGUGGCGCCAGAAUUCAAACUAACAGCCGCAGUUGGAGGCGAGGCUCCCGCUUGCCCGGAGCCAAGUCCGCCCCGGACGGGUUGGGCGGCUCGGGGCCGGGAGUGGACUUGAGUUAGGCAGCGCAGGGCGGCCUCGGUUUAGGACCCACUCGAGAAGGCGGGCUGGCGCCGGCCGGGAGUGAGCGACCCGCGGCCGCCGCACGCCCAGAAAGGGAAAGUAGAUGGCAGACCUGUUCGGGUGAAAACACUCUGUGAAAGCGCUGCGACUCUCCUCCGGUCCGCAGGGAGAGUACCGCGCCCCUCCAGCUCCCGCGGCCGGUGCGCCCUGGGCGGCGUCCGGGCCCCGCGCCCCGCCCCCCUCCCCUUCCGUGGGCCGGGCGCUGCUCCUACACUCUGAUCUGCACGUCCAAUUCUUCCUGAGCCAGCAACCCCGAGAGUGCCCAAGUGAAUUAAAGCCAUAUCAUAGUGAGCUUGUGAGAAGAUCUGCAAGAUCAAUUUCUAGAAACAGAAAAUACAGUGGAAGGAUUUGGAAAGGACUGUCACCUCUGCCUAGUACUGCACUGUGGCUGAGAGAGCUGGUGAGUUUAACACCAAUUAAAACAAGAAGAAGGAUGCUAAUGUUACCUUUGAUUUACCACUCUUUGCUGUUUUAAUUCAAUGAGAAGCUCAAUCUCUACACCUGAAAGAAUCUCCAACGGAAAAGCACAUACAAAAAAAGAUAUAUAUAGCCAUAAUGGAAAACAGUAUGGAGGUUGCUCAAAAAGUUAAGAAUGAACUAUCAUAUGAUCCAGCAAUCCUACUUCUAGGUUCUCAAGAUCUGUGGGGACAUAAAAUUAUGAUGCUUGUCUGGAGGCAGAGAAGAUGAAGAGGGCACAGACCAAUCUUAUAUAAUGAAUACUGCCUGCUGAAGUUCUCCAUUUGCUCUCAGGCCACAGCUGGGCAUUUGGGAAGAUGCGGAAGCAAAAGUCAGAGGUGCACCACCACACACACCUACACCUAUUUCUCUCGCUCAGCGUAAGGACUCCAGUUUACUUGAUCUUAAACAAGAAACCUGGUUAGCAUGUUCACCUUGACACUGUCUUGGUAAACACUUAGUUCUAUUUCCAAAUUCGGUCAAGUCUUCCUUCAUGGACUUGGUUCAUUCCUUACCUAGACUGUUAUCUCAGGUCUUUGUGUCUUGUCAUUCUUCUUAACACAUCUGUCAAAGUUAUCUUCCCUGUUUUCUGCUUUGAACUAAUAAACUACAAGGAAAGUAUCCUUGUUCUUUA